UGGGGAAUUUUGGACAAUGGGCGCAAGCCUGAUCCAGCUAUUCCGCGUGUGGGAUGACGGCCCUCGGGUUGUAAACCACUUUAGUAGAGAACGAAAAGGGAGCUAUCGAAUAAAUAGCUCUGCUGACGGUACUCUAAGAAUAAGCACCGGCUAACUACGUGCC
RNAcentral lists this ribosomal RNA (163 nucleotides) under uncultured bacterium. RNAcentral describes it as "partial 16S ribosomal RNA". It matches the Rfam family "Bacterial small subunit ribosomal RNA", at positions 355 to 509 of the family's 1533-position model. The record is from RNAcentral.